Molecule: ribosomal RNA, 253 nt
Filed under: uncultured bacterium
Lineage: Bacteria
Description: partial 16S ribosomal RNA
Rfam family: Bacterial small subunit ribosomal RNA
Source: RNAcentral
UACGUAGGUCGCAAGCGUUGUCCGGAUUUACUGGGCGUAAAGAGCGCGCAGGCGGCUGGUCAAGUCCGAUGUGAAAUCUCCCGGCUCAACUGGGAAACUGCAUCGGAAACUGAUCGGCUUGAAGAUGGGAGAGGGUAGUGGAAUUCCCGGUGUAGUGGUGAAAUGCGCAGAUAUCGGGAGGAACACCUAUGGCGAAGGCAGCUCGCUGGGACGGCACUGACGCUGAGACGCGAAAGCGUGGGGAGCAAACAGG